CUGGGAAUAGUUGGUUUUGAAAAUCAUAAA
RNAcentral lists this non-coding RNA (30 nucleotides) under Rattus norvegicus (Norway rat). The record is from RNAcentral. Lineage: Eukaryota; Metazoa; Chordata; Mammalia; Rodentia; Muridae.